Molecule: long non-coding RNA, 967 nt
Organism: Photinus pyralis (common eastern firefly)
Lineage: Eukaryota; Metazoa; Arthropoda; Insecta; Coleoptera; Lampyridae
Exons: 2
Source: RefSeq, a predicted model, not a curated record
UUGACAACAUUCAACUUGAGCUAUGCGCGGUCUAGGUAUAACAAGUCUCUGGUAUAAGUGGUUAUGAUGCGAACGUUUGAAUUUUUGACCCAGGGAAAAAAGUUGAUUGAUUUUGAUUUUGCUCGAAAGUUGAUCUCCACCCCUGAGCAAUUUCAAGGGCAGAUAUGGACUUGGCGACUGCGAAAACCCCAGCAAUUUCUUGGUACGGUUAAUUUUUCACUCCAUUGUAUGCCUUCAAUUGGCACCCCCGUAAAGCGAGCCUUGUGGAUCCCUGGUCUAUUUCGGGGGCAGAUAUGGAUUCCGCGACCGCGAAAACUGCUACUUUAUUUAGACAUCUUAUAUAACCAUAGGUUAAGUUACCUACGCAAUAGGGUUCUAUUUUUCUCCUGCUCAGCAGACAACUCGGAAAAUGUAUCACAUCGGGAAGAACAGUUUCCUUUCCUCAUUGUACUUUUUUACGAACAUUCUGCAAAUGGGGAAUAUUUAUAUACCACGACAACUACUAAUGAAAAUGUUUAAACAUUUAAUAGUCUUUAAAAAUAUGAUAUGUAACAUUAUCAUUGUUAUUUGACUAACUAUAGCUACAGUUUAGAACCUAUAGCAUAAUAUUUAAACGAGGUAGACACACAAACAAUAUUAUCACAACUAAUAAAUAUAACGACAACUAAUUUUAUUAAGAUUUCAUUGCUGUAAAUUACUAAAUUAUUGCAUGCUAAAAUGUACUUGGCACAAAAAGUUGAUUUUCAGCUAUUCUAUUCCGUCUCUGUAUCAUAAUCAAACUCUUCAAUUAUAUUUGUGAAUGAUGGGCGCGAUCUUAGGAACUUCUUAACUUCGUCAUCCACUUGCGUGCUGUUAAGUAUGUCGAGUGAAGUCAUGCCCAAUUUUGUUAAUUUGGGAUAAACUACUUUUGAGGCCUUCCAACAGAGUACGUUCCUAUUAAUAUUAUUCAUCAGCGCCUCCGCUUUAG